CAUGGGGAGCAAACAGGAUUUGGUACCCUGGUAGUCCAUGCCUUAAACAAUGAAUAUUACAUAUUAGAUUUAAUAUCUUUGAUAUUGAAAAAUCUAGUAUAGAAAGUUAACACGUUAAAUAUUUCGCCUGGGGAGUAAAACCGCAAGGUUGAAACUCAAAGGAAUUGACGGGAGCUUAUACUUACGGUGGAGCAUGUGGUUUAAUCCGAUAGUCCGCGUGGAAUCUUACCAAUUUUUGACAAGUUAUUUUUUAUUUUAAAUAAUACAGGUGUUGCAUGGCCGUCGUCAGCUUAUGUUUUGAAAUUUAAUAUAUAAGUACAACCCUUAUUUUAAUUUGCUAUAAUUUAAAAAGAAUAAUAUUAUUAUGUUAAACUAUUAAAUUUGCACUAUUAAAAUUAAAUAAAUAUAAGUAAAAAUUAUAUUUAAAAGGAUGAAGA
RNAcentral lists this ribosomal RNA (437 nucleotides) under Blastocystis sp. Its description in RNAcentral is "partial small subunit ribosomal RNA". It matches the Rfam family "Bacterial small subunit ribosomal RNA", at positions 760 to 1185 of the family's 1533-position model. Lineage: Eukaryota; Bigyra; Opalinata; Blastocystidae. The record is from RNAcentral.